CAUCUUAGUGGCGGACGGGUGAGUAACGCGUGGGUAACCUGCCUUAUACAGGGGGAUAACACUUAGAAAUAGGUGCUAAUACCGCAUAAGCGCACGGGGCUGCAUGGCCCAGUGUGAAAAACCCCGGUGGUAUAAGAUGGACCCGCGUCUGAUUAGCUUGUUGGCGGGGUAACGGCCCACCAAGGCGACGAUCAGUAGCCGGCCUGAGAGGGUGGACGGCCACAUUGGGACUGAGACACGGCCCAAACUCCUACGGAAGGCAGCAG
This 266-nucleotide ribosomal RNA is filed under the name uncultured bacterium. RNAcentral's name for it is "partial 16S ribosomal RNA". It matches the Rfam family "Bacterial small subunit ribosomal RNA", at positions 88 to 354 of the family's 1533-position model. The record is from RNAcentral.